AAGCCCCGUGGUGGAGACCACGUCAGAUUGCAAAUCUGAAGACGCAGAGGAGAUUCUGCCGGGGCUU
Molecule: transfer RNA, 67 nt
Filed under: Bathytroctes macrolepis (Koefoed's smooth-head)
Lineage: Eukaryota; Metazoa; Chordata; Actinopteri; Alepocephaliformes; Alepocephalidae
Description: tRNA-Cys
Rfam family: tRNA
About the family: Transfer RNA (tRNA) molecules are approximately 80 nucleotides in length.
Source: RNAcentral